GUGCCAGCCGCCGCGGUAAUACGAAGGUGGCAAGCGUUACUCGGAAUUACUAGGCGUAAAGGGCAGGUAGGUGGUUUGAUAAGUCUGUUGUGAAAGCUCCCGGCUUAACUGGGAGAGGUCAACAGAAACUAUCAGGCUUGAGUAUGGGAGAGGGUACUGGAAUUCCCGGUGUAGCGGUGAAAUGCGCAGAGAUCGGGAGGAACACCUAUGGCGAAAGCAGGUACCUGGACCAUUACUGACACUCAGCUGCGAAAGCUAGGGGAGCAAACAGGAUUAGAAACCCUGGUAGUCC
This 292-nucleotide ribosomal RNA is filed under the name uncultured bacterium. RNAcentral's name for it is "partial 16S ribosomal RNA". It matches the Rfam family "Bacterial small subunit ribosomal RNA", at positions 505 to 796 of the family's 1533-position model. The record is from RNAcentral.